GACAGCGGCCUGCUUGGGGGACAUACUUCUUUAUAUGCCCAUAUGAACACGAGCAACUAUGGAAUGUAAAGAAGUAUGUAUCCCAGGUUGGGAGAAAUGAC
Non-coding RNA from Oryzias latipes (Japanese medaka), 101 nucleotides. RefSeq annotates it as microRNA mir-1-1. Lineage: Eukaryota; Metazoa; Chordata; Actinopteri; Beloniformes; Adrianichthyidae. The record is from RefSeq and is marked provisional.